Zalophus californianus (California sea lion) is the source of this 501-nucleotide long non-coding RNA. RefSeq lists it as uncharacterized. The transcript is spliced from 3 exons. The record is from RefSeq and is a predicted model, not a curated record. Lineage: Eukaryota; Metazoa; Chordata; Mammalia; Carnivora; Otariidae.
GGCGGGGUCGGAGGUCCUCGCAACCUCUUCCAGGCCGCCGUGGGCACGGUCCCUCCCUACCUGAACACAAAGAUGACUUUUACCCUGGGUAUCAGAAAUAUCUACAGGAGUGACACUGCACCUGCUAAAGGCCUGCAGCAUACAGACCCCAAGACUGUUAUAAGCAGGGAGAUAACCUGGAUGCUCCAUACCUGAGCCAGUUCUCUCUCUACUCGACCCUAACUGCAUCCUCCUACACCACAGAAACAUAGGCCUUUGUGUGUCUGAUCAAGAAGGAGGUGUUUUUUAAGCAGGAAUGCAGAGUCUAGGGUGGAAAUUUCAGCAAGCUUAUGGCUCUGGGCAUUGGUGUGCUACUCCCUGGCACUUUGGUUUUUAUUACCAUGGCUACACUUCCCACACCCUGCGACCAUGGGCAUUCACUGGUUUCAUGUUGCUUUUUCAUUUGAACACCAUACAGCAUUUUUUUAAGCCCCAGUAGUCAGAGGCAUUUGUUUGCAGAAC